RNAcentral lists this ribosomal RNA (109 nucleotides) under Sympetrum vulgatum. RNAcentral describes it as "5.8S ribosomal RNA". It matches the Rfam family "5.8S ribosomal RNA", at positions 10 to 120 of the family's 154-position model. From Rfam's summary of the family: 5.8S ribosomal RNA (5.8S rRNA) is a component of the large subunit of the eukaryotic ribosome. It is transcribed by RNA polymerase I as part of the 45S precursor that also contains 18S and 28S rRNA. The record is from RNAcentral. RNAcentral also lists the same sequence under 3 other names. Lineage: Eukaryota; Metazoa; Arthropoda; Insecta; Odonata; Libellulidae.
CGGUGGAUCACUCGGCUCGUGGAUCGAUGAAGAACGCAGCAAACUGCGCGUCAAAGUGUGAACUGCAGGACACAUGAACAUCGACGUUUCUAACGCACAUUGCGGCCCA